RNAcentral lists this ribosomal RNA (2999 nucleotides) under Haemophilus influenzae. Its description in RNAcentral is "bacterial LSU rRNA". It matches the Rfam family "Bacterial large subunit ribosomal RNA". The record is from RNAcentral. Lineage: Bacteria; Pseudomonadati; Pseudomonadota; Gammaproteobacteria; Pasteurellales; Pasteurellaceae.
UUAAGUGACUAAGCGUACAAGGUGGAUGCCUUGGCAAUCAGAGGCGAAGAAGGACGUGCUAAUCUGCGAAAAGCUUGGAUGAGUCGAUAAGAGGCGCUUAAUCCAAGAUAUCCGAAUGGGGAAACCCAGUAGAUGAAGAAUCUACUAUCAACAAGUGAAUUCAUAGCUUGUUGAGGCAAACCGGGAGAACUGAAACAUCUAAGUACCCCGAGGAAAAGAAAUCAACCGAGAUUUCGUCAGUAGCGGCGAGCGAAAGCGAAAGAGCCAGUAAGUGAUAACAGUAUGGUUAGGAGAAUGUGUUGGGAAGCACAAUCAAAGAGGGUGAUAAUCCCGUAUCUAAAAACCAUAUUGUGGUACUAAGCUAACGAGAAGUAGGGCGGGACACGUGAUAUCCUGUUUGAAGAAGGGGGGACCAUCCUCCAAGGCUAAAUACUCCUGAUUGACCGAUAGUGAACCAGUACUGUGAAGGAAAGGCGAAAAGAACCCCGGUGAGGGGAGUGAAAUAGAACCUGAAACCUUGUACGUACAAGCAGUGGGAGCCCCAUCACUUAAUCCGAUUGGAAGGUGAUGAAAAGCAACCGCACUUAAACAAUGGUAAGAGGAGCGAAGCGAGUCAAACCACCCAAAAGAAGCAGUGGGAUUAAGUGAUGGGGUGACUGCGUACCUUUUGUAUAAUGGGUCAGCGACUUAUAUUUUGUAGCGAGGUUAACUGAAUAGGGGAGCCGAAGGGAAACCGAGUCUUAACUGGGCGAGUAGUUGCAAGGUAUAGACCCGAAACCCGGUGAUCUAGCCAUGGGCAGGUUGAAGGUUGGGUAACACUAACUGGAGGACCGAACCGACUAAUGUUGAAAAAUUAGCGGAUGACUUGUGGCUGGGGGUGAAAGGCCAAUCAAACCGGGAGAUAGCUGGUUCUCCCCGAAAUCUAUUUAGGUAGAGCCUUGAGGUGACACCUUUGGGGGUAGAGCACUGUUUCGGCUAGGGGGCCAUCCCGGCUUACCAACCCGAUGCAAACUACGAAUACCAAAGAGUGAUACUCAGGAGACACACGGCGGGUGCUAACGUCCGUCGUGGAGAGGGAAACAACCCAGACCGCCAGCUAAGGUCCCCAAGUCUAUAUUAAGUGGGAAACGAAGUGGGAAGGCUUAGACAGCUAGGAUGUUGGCUUAGAAGCAGCCAUCAUUUAAAGAAAGCGUAAUAGCUCACUAGUCGAGUCGGCCUGCGCGGAAGAUGUAACGGGGCUGAAAUAUAGCACCGAAGCUGCGGCAUCAGAAUUUAUUCUGUUGGGUAGGGGAGCGUUGUGUAAGCGGAAGAAGGUUCAUCGAGAGGUGGGCUGGACGUAUCACAAGUGCGAAUGCUGACAUAAGUAACGAUAAAACGGGUGAAAAACCCGUUCGCCGGAAGACCAAGGGUUCCUGUCCAACGUUAAUCGGGGCAGGGUGAGUCGGCUCCUAAGGCGAGGCUGAAAAGCGUAGUCGAUGGGAAACAGGUUAAUAUUCCUGUACUUGGUAAAGCUGCGAUGUGGGGACGGAGUAGGUUAGGUUAUCGCACUGUUGGAUAUGUGCGUUUAAGUUGGUAGGUGGGAAGUUUAGGCAAAUCCGGGCUUCCUUAACACAGAGAGAUGAUGACGAGGCUCUACGGAGCUGAAGUAACUGAUACCACACUUCCAGGAAAAGCCACUAAGCGAAAGGCUUUACUAAACCGUACUGAAAACCGACACAGGUGGUCAGGUAGAGAAUACUCAGGCGCUUGAGAGAACUCGGGUGAAGGAACUAGGCAAAAUAGCACCGUAACUUCGGGAGAAGGUGCGCCGGCGUAGAUUGUAAGGGCUAGCCCCUGAAGGUUGAACCGGUCGAAGAUACCAGCUGGCUGCAACUGUUUAUUAAAAACACAGCACUCUGCAAACACGAAAGUGGACGUAUAGGGUGUGAUGCCUGCCCGGUGCUGGAAGGUUAAUUGAUGGUGUAAUCGCAAGAGAAGCACCUGAUCGAAGCCCCAGUAAACGGCGGCCGUAACUAUAACGGUCCUAAGGUAGCGAAAUUCCUUGUCGGGUAAGUUCCGACCUGCACGAAUGGCAUAAUGAUGGCCAGGCUGUCUCCACCCGAGACUCAGUGAAAUUGAAAUCGCCGUGAAGAUGCGGUGUACCCGCGGCUAGACGGAAAGACCCCGUGAACCUUUACUAUAGCUUGACACUGAACAUUGAAUUUUGAUGUGUAGGAUAGGUGGGAGCCUUUGAAGCAGUGACGCCAGUCAUUGUGGAGGCGACCUUGAAAUACCACCCUUUAACGUUUGAUGUUCUAACGAAGAUGACGAAACGUGGUCUCGGACAGUGUCUGGUGGGUAGUUUGACUGGGGCGGUCUCCUCCCAAAGCGUAACGGAGGAGCACGAAGGUUUGCUAAUCACGGUCGGACAUCGUGAGGUUAGUGCAAUGGUAUAAGCAAGCUUAACUGCGAGACAGACAAGUCGAGCAGGUACGAAAGUAGGUCAUAGUGAUCCGGUGGUUCUGAAUGGAAGGGCCAUCGCUCAACGGAUAAAAGGUACUCCGGGGAUAACAGGCUGAUACCGCCCAAGAGUUCAUAUCGACGGCGGUGUUUGGCACCUCGAUGUCGGCUCAUCACAUCCUGGGGCUGAAGUAGGUCCCAAGGGUAUGGCUGUUCGCCAUUUAAAGUGGUACGCGAGCUGGGUUUAGAACGUCGUGAGACAGUUCGGUCCCUAUCUGCCGUGGGCGUAGGAGAAUUGAUUGGGGCUGCUCCUAGUACGAGAGGACCGGAGUGGACGCACCACUGGUGUUCCGGUUGUGUCGCCAGACGCAUUGCCGGGUAGCUAAGUGCGGAAGAGAUAAGUGCUGAAAGCAUCUAAGCACGAAACUUGCCAAGAGAUGAGUUCUCCCAAUCUAAGAGAUUGUAAGGGUUGUUGUAGACUACGACGUAGAUAGGUCUGGUGUGUAAGUGUAGUGAUAUAUUGAGCUAACAGAUACUAAUUGCCCGAGAGGCUUAACUAU